CCGGCACGGGUGAGUAACACGUAUCCAACCUGCCGUCUACUCUUGGACAGCCUUCUGAAAGGAAGAUUAAUACAAGAUGGCAUCAUGAGUCCGCAUGUUCACAUGAUUAAAGGUAUUCCGGUAGACGAUGGGGAUGCGUUCCAUUAGAUAGUAGGCGGGGUAACGGCCCACCUAGUCUUCGAUGGAUAGGGGUUCCGAGAGGAAGGUCCCCCACAUUGGAACUGAGACACGGUCCAA
RNAcentral lists this ribosomal RNA (237 nucleotides) under uncultured bacterium. RNAcentral describes it as "partial 16S ribosomal RNA". It matches the Rfam family "Bacterial small subunit ribosomal RNA", at positions 100 to 334 of the family's 1533-position model. The record is from RNAcentral.